RNAcentral lists this ribosomal RNA (525 nucleotides) under Blastocystis sp. RNAcentral describes it as "SSU rRNA". It matches the Rfam family "Eukaryotic small subunit ribosomal RNA", at positions 1 to 554 of the family's 1831-position model. Lineage: Eukaryota; Bigyra; Opalinata; Blastocystidae. The record is from RNAcentral.
UAUCUGGUUGAUCCUGCCAGUAGUCAUACGCUCGUCUCAAAGAUUAAGCCAUGCAUGUGUAAGAAUAAAUAGUUAACUUUGAAACUGCGAAUGGCUCGUUAUAUCAGUUAUAGUUUAUUUGAUGAAGAAUACUAAUUGGAUAACCGUAGUAAUUCUAGAGUUAAUACAUGUAUAAAGUCUUGUAGACUGCAUUUAUUAGUGAAAACCAUAGGUUUCGGCCUAUUCGUGAGUAACGAUAACUAAUCAUAUCGUAUGCUUAUGUAACGAUGUGUCUUUCAAGUUUCUCCGUAUCAGCUUUCGAUGGUAGUGUAUUGGACUACCAUGGCAGUAACGGGUAACGAAGAAUUUGGGUUCGAUUUCGGAGAGGGAGCCUGAGAGAUGGCUACCACAUCCAAGGAAGGCAGCGGGGGCGUAAAUUACCCAAUCCUGACACAGGGAGGUAGUGACAAUAAAUCACAAUGCGGAACAAUGUUUUGCAAUUGGAUUGAGAACAACGUACAUACGUUAUCGAUAAACAAUUGGAGG